CGCGUAGGCGGCUUGUUAAGUCAGAUGUGAAACCUGGGGGCUCAACCCGCAGCGUGCAUCAGAAACUGGCAGGCUUGAGUCUGGUAGAGGAAAGUGGAAUUCCCAGUGUAGCGGUGAAAUGCGCAGAUAUUGGGAGGAACACCAGUGGCGAAGGCGGCUUUCUGGGCCACGACUGACGCUGAGGCGCGAAAGCUAGGGGAGCAAACAGGAUUAGAUACCCUGGUAGUCCUAGCCGUAAACGAUGGGCACUAGGUGUGGGGGGUCAUCAACUCCCUCCGUGCCGCAGCUAACGCACUAAGUGCCCCGCCUGGGGAGUACGGCCGCAAGGCUAAA
RNAcentral lists this ribosomal RNA (333 nucleotides) under uncultured bacterium. Its description in RNAcentral is "bacterial SSU rRNA". It matches the Rfam family "Bacterial small subunit ribosomal RNA", at positions 568 to 898 of the family's 1533-position model. The record is from RNAcentral.